Molecule: ribosomal RNA, 301 nt
Filed under: uncultured bacterium
Lineage: Bacteria
Description: partial 16S ribosomal RNA
Rfam family: Bacterial small subunit ribosomal RNA
Source: RNAcentral
CAGUCGCCGCGGGAAUACGUAGGGUGCAAGCGUUAAUCGGAAUUACUGGGCGUAAAGCGCACGUAGGCGGCUUGGUAAGUUAGAGGUGAAAGCCCGGAGCUCAACUCCGGAAUUGCCUUUAAGACUGCCGAGCUAGUAGGUGAGAGAGGUAAGUGGAAUUCCGUGUGUAGAGGUGAAAUUCGUAGAUAUUCGGAAGAACACCAGUGGCGAAGGCGGUUUACUGGCUCAUUCUAGACGCUGAGGUGCGAAAGCGUGGGGAGCAAACAGGAUUAGAGACCCGAGUAGUCCCUGUCUCUUAUAC